Molecule: long non-coding RNA, 2131 nt
Filed under: Volvox carteri
Lineage: Eukaryota; Viridiplantae; Chlorophyta; Chlorophyceae; Chlamydomonadales; Volvocaceae
Description: long non-coding RNA (VCAR_LNC001877)
Source: RNAcentral
GCUGGUGGGUCACUCUCCAUGUCGUCUGGCUCUGCGCGGGGGUGGUGUGGCUUCUCCGUGGUCGUGCUCCACACUAUAGGUGUGUCGCGGCGUACAUGUGGGUCGAGGGAUGGUGCUAGUAUCAGGUUGGGGAGACUUGAUUUGUGCCGGAGACCGGUGUACGGAGGGUCACUGGGGAUCUCGUGGAGGCGUCUGUCUUCCAGAGGCAGCGCGGACGACCAGCGACGUGGGUCAUGUGCCUUCGUGUGUGGAGCUUGGGGGCAUUGGGCACUUAUCGCUAGGCUUAGUCGAUUCAAGGCGAUCUUGUGCCGGUGCUGCACCUUGCCCCGGGGGAAAAGCUUCUGAAGAUCAGUGGUGGUGAUGAGGUGUUGUGUUGUGUUCUUGUCGAUGAGCGCGUGCAUGUCUAGGCCCAGCUCUGUCAAGGGGAGCAAGCAUCUGUACGGCAGGGUUUCGGACUUUGUGUCCUGCCGCGCGUUGACGGCGGAGGCGGCCGUCAUGAGAGUGUUUAGGGAUGUGUUAUACGGCAUCCCUUUGUCGGUGACCGCGAUGCCAUGGUCUCGCGCCAGGGUCAGCUGUUUCAGGGUCGUGUAGAAACUGCUCUCUCGUUUCAACGUGUGCAUCCUAGUGUCGGCUGCCAGGCGACACUGCAGCUCAAGCAUGGCUCGUGUCACGACGCCUAGCCGGCCUUCAUCAUUCAGGGAGAGGACCAGCGCGCGAGCUGCCAUGCGCACAUAGAUCGGUAGUAGGGACCCAACGCCGAGUCCAUAUGUUCCACCGGUAGCAGCACGGCGCGUGUGGGAAAACUGGUGGGCAAGCGGUAGCAGCGUCGGGCUGCUCGUGCGAUCAUCGCAUCCAAAAGUCUGAUAUCAUUAGGAGUGUAUGCCAUGGUGGAGAAGCUGUAUGACACUACCGCUUGUAUACAAGUCUGUAUGAUUCUGAUACAUUGGUCUGGCGAUGCUAGGGAUCCCUGAAGUAGGUCGCCCUUGUCCCUCACCGCCUUGCAGACGUGGGACAUCUGUGCGCUCCAGUUGAGGGUCAGUGUUACGUGGACCCCGAGGUACUUGUAGGGUUCCGUGGGGGGUAGGUACGGCACUGACUGGUCGCUGAUUUUGAUUUUUUCAUCCAAGGCUGCCUUGAGGGUGCGUGCACACGUGGGUCCGUUCAGGCCUCGGUCGGCCCAUGCCCUGUGGUGCAGGAUGCCCGUCACUGCGCAUUUUUUUGUGAUUCACGUGUAGGCCCGCCCAUUUCGAGUACAAGCUGAUCUUGUCGCAUUGUAUUUGUAGGUCUUGUGUGCUGUUGGUCAUCACGGCGAGGUCGUCGGCGUAGGCGGCUGAGCUUCCAUGGUACCUGGCGUUCAAGCUGUCGGGGAGGCAGCCGUAUUUGUACCCUCGUCCGCCAGCGUGGAGCCAUCGGAGGAGUGGUUCGAGGAAAAUAAUGAAUAGCACCGGCGAGAGCGUGUCCCCCUGUACUGUGCCUCGUUCGAUCAUUAUUGGCACUGUGUGGCCGUGUUCUGUCCGUAUAGUGGUCCGCGCUUGGCUGUACAGGUCCCGUACGACAUAGAUGAGGUCCUCGGGUAGCCCUAGGUCGUACAUGAUCUGUAGCAGCAGGUCGUGGUUGAUGGUGUUGAAUGCCAAGGAGAAGUCGACGUAUAGCAGGUAGAGAUCUUUGCGUGUGAGCCCAGCAUCCUCAAUCACGUGGAGCAGGUUUUGGAUUUGCCGUUCCGUGUUUCUGUACCGGAGGAACCCUUCUUGCGCCUCGCUAAACAACACGAGUUCGGGAGCGAUGUCCCCGAUGGACACUGUGACGAGGCUAGUCCAUAACUUAUAAAGAGUGUUGGCGAGGGCAAUGGGUCGCUUGUUGUUCAGGAGGAGCGCAUCUCCUGCUUUUGGUAGAAGGACCGUAACGGAUUCAGUCCAUUGCUUUGGCGUGCGGGCCUGGGCCCACAUGACUUUCAGGAGGUCGUGGAUGGUGGACUGUAAGGCAGUGGGCAAUGCUCUCAGUAGCUCGUUAGGUAUCCCAUCGGGCCCCGGUGUUUUAUUGCGGGCCAGGUGUUGGACACACUUGUUAAAGUUAAAAGGGUCAGCGACGCUGCUAAGCAGGACGUGGUCCGCGGCCUGUUUCGGGCUGGUAA